RNAcentral lists this long non-coding RNA (713 nucleotides) under Salvia miltiorrhiza (redroot sage). Its description in RNAcentral is "long non-coding RNA (SMIL_LNC001872)". Lineage: Eukaryota; Viridiplantae; Streptophyta; Magnoliopsida; Lamiales; Lamiaceae. The record is from RNAcentral.
UCUCUUCCCGCAAGAAGAUUAUCGCCCCGGUAGUGCUCUUCGGUUUGGCGUAUCUUCCCCAAAGGUAAAACGACUACGUCUCGGCGGAUGUAGCACCACAAUCCGGCGAGCUCCGGCGAACUUAAUAGGAUCAAGAACUGAGCACAAGUGUUUGCAGAGAGUUGCAGAGAGAAUGGCAGAAUGCAGAAAUUUGUUGGUGUUGUUCGUUGUUUCUGCAUGCUCUCCACAAGUCUAUUUAUAGACAUGUGGUAAGUAUGAAUUCAAUACCUUGAAUUCCACUCCUACGGCUGGAAGGUUGAAGAUGUGGCCGGUGGGCGCAGAAGUCGUACUGGCGUGCUGAAGUUGCCAUGCAGAAGUCGUACUGGCGUGCUUCUGCUUCCAGCUUCUGCUGCUGCUGCUGAUUUGUUCUGCUGCUGUGACUGUUGCUGUGGGCUUGGGAAUUAAUUUAGUUGGGCCAAGAAAAUAAUUCUGUUGGGCCAAAAAUUAAAAGCCCAAUGGAGUUGGUCCAAAAAAUAGUUUGGGCCCCAAACACCACCCCAAAGCACCAAUUGCCAAGAUCCAAGUCCUUGGCCGCGGCCCGUACCCGACCCGCCCGUCCGGCGGCGGCGACGACGUCGUCGUCCGUCCGUCCGAUCGAUCGAUCGAUCGUCGUCGGCGGCGGCGCGCGUGUGUGUGUGCGCGCGAGGCUAGUACUUAGAUCAAGCCCACUAGCA